RNAcentral lists this ribosomal RNA (274 nucleotides) under uncultured bacterium. RNAcentral's name for it is "partial 16S ribosomal RNA". It matches the Rfam family "Bacterial small subunit ribosomal RNA", at positions 523 to 796 of the family's 1533-position model. The record is from RNAcentral.
CUACGAAGGGGGCCAGCGUUGUUCGGAAUCACUGGGCGUAAAGCGCGCGUAGGUGGAUCAAUUAGUUGAGGGUGAAAUCCCGGGGCUCAACCUCGGAACUGCCUUCAAUACUGUUGAUCUUGAGACCGAGAGAGGUGAGUGGAAUUCCUAGUGUAGAGGUGAAAUUCGUAGAUAUUAGGAAGAACACCAGUGGCGAAGGCGGCUCACUGGCUCGGUACUGACGCUGAGGUGCGAAAGCGUGGGGAGCAAACAGGAUUAGAUACCCUAGUAGUCC